GCGAGAGUGGCGGAACUGGUAGACGCGCUGGACUUAGGAUCCAGUGGAGCAAUCCGUAGGGGUUCGACUCCCCUCUCUCGCACCA
This 85-nucleotide transfer RNA is filed under the name Deltaproteobacteria bacterium. RNAcentral describes it as "tRNA-Leu". It matches the Rfam family "tRNA". Rfam says of the family: Transfer RNA (tRNA) molecules are approximately 80 nucleotides in length. Lineage: Bacteria; Pseudomonadati; Myxococcota; Myxococcia. The record is from RNAcentral. RNAcentral also lists the same sequence under 1 other name.